RNAcentral lists this ribosomal RNA (493 nucleotides) under uncultured bacterium. Its description in RNAcentral is "partial 16S ribosomal RNA". It matches the Rfam family "Bacterial small subunit ribosomal RNA", at positions 29 to 523 of the family's 1533-position model. The record is from RNAcentral.
AUUGAACGCUGGCGGCAUGCUUUACACAUGCAAGUCGAACAGUAACAGGUUAAGCUGACGAGUGGCGAACGGGUGAGUGGUGCAUCGGAACGUGCCCGAUCGUGGGGGAUAACGCAGCGAAAGCUGCGCUAAUACCGCAUACGAUCUGAGGAUGAAAGCGGGGGACCGUAAGGCCUCGCGCGAUCGGAGCGGCCGAUGUCAGAUUAGGUAGUUGGUGGGGUAAAGGCUCACCAAGCCGACGAUCUGUAGCUGGGCUGAGAGGACGACCAGCCACACUGGGACUGAGACACGGCCCAGACUCCUACGGGAGGCAGCAGUGGGGAAUUUUGGACAAUGGGCGUAAGCCUGAUCCAGCAAUGCCGCGUGCAGGAAGAAGGCCUUCGGGUUGUAAACUGCUUUUGUACGGAGCGAAAAGGCUCUCUCUAAUACAGGGGGCUCAUGACGGUACCGUAAGAAUAAGCACCGGCUAACUACGUGCCAGCCGCCGCAGUAA